CAUGUACACUUGGUAUUUUUAUACAUACAGUGGCCAAGAAGACCAUUGCUAUCUGUGACAGAAUUCUAAGAUGGCCCCAUAAUCUCAGUCCUGGUGUUACUUCUAUAAUUUUGUUCACUACAUGAUCCCACAAUAUGGAAUAUCAAGAGUCCUAUUUCCCUUUGUCCAUCCUAGACAGCAAACCUAUAGACAAGUCCUCCACAAAACCUCCCCAGAUUUAGCAGAAACUUGACUCCUAAUUUCCAUGACCUCCCAUGGCUUCAAGUUCAUAUUCCUCCUCAUUACUAACAAGAUCAGAAGAUAAGCACCAGGCUCUUCUUUCAAUGGGUCCAGAAAAAGUCUCCUUGGAUCCCGCUUACUGGAUCUUGGUCCAUUCCUAGGUCAGUGAUCAGAGCAAUAUAGUUCCAAUGAGUCAGGGCCAAAAGUGGAGAUUUCUGCACUGAAUUAUAUGAAUUAUAUGAAGUGAUAAUAAAAGAGAGACUGUU
Long non-coding RNA from Panthera uncia (snow leopard), 485 nucleotides. RefSeq lists it as uncharacterized. The transcript has 3 exons. The record is from RefSeq and is a predicted model, not a curated record. Lineage: Eukaryota; Metazoa; Chordata; Mammalia; Carnivora; Felidae.